UACGUAGGUGGCAAGCGUUGUCCGGAUUUACUGGGCGUAAAGAGCGCGCAGGCGGUCGUUCAAGUCGAGUGUGAAAGCCCCCGGCUCAACUGGGGAGGGUCACUCGAUACUGAUCGACUCGAAGGCAGGAGAGGGUAGUGGAAUUCCCGGUGUAGUGGUGAAAUGCGUAGAUAUCGGGAGGAACACCAGUGGCGAAGGCGACUACCUGGCCUGUUCUUGACGCUGAGGCGCGAAAGCUAGGGGAGCGAACAGG
Molecule: ribosomal RNA, 253 nt
Filed under: uncultured bacterium
Lineage: Bacteria
Description: partial 16S ribosomal RNA
Rfam family: Bacterial small subunit ribosomal RNA
Source: RNAcentral